This 429-nucleotide ribosomal RNA is filed under the name uncultured bacterium. RNAcentral describes it as "bacterial SSU rRNA". It matches the Rfam family "Bacterial small subunit ribosomal RNA", at positions 355 to 776 of the family's 1533-position model. The record is from RNAcentral.
UGGGGAAUAUUGGACAAUGGGGGCAACCCUGAUCCAGCGAUGCCGCGUGUGUGAAGAAGGCCUGAGGGUUGUAAAGCACUUUCAGUGGGGAGGAGGUAUUAAUUGUAAAUAGCGAUUAAUAUGGACGUUACCCACAGAAGAAGCACCGGCUAACUCCGUGCCAGCAGCCGCGGUAAUACGGGGGGUGCAAGCGUUAAUCGGAAUUACUGGGCGUAAAGGGUGAGUAGGUUGUUUAUUAAGUUAUCUGUGAAAGACCAGGGCUCAACCCUGGGGUGUCAGAUAAGACUGAUAGACUUGAGUAUAGGAGAGGGUAGUGGAAUUUCCGGUGUAGCGGUGAAAUGCGUAGAGAUCGGAAGGAACACCGGUGGCGAAGGCGGCUAUCUGGCCUAAUACUGACACUGAGUCACGAAAGCGUGGGGAGCAAACAGG